GCCGCAGCGAUAGCUCAAUGGAUAAAGCGCCAGGUGAGAAAAUGGCGAUUACCCGAGAGCUAUUAUCCGCGCGGGUUCGAACCCCCGCCUGUGGCA
Aromia moschata is the source of this 96-nucleotide non-coding RNA. Lineage: Eukaryota; Metazoa; Arthropoda; Insecta; Coleoptera; Cerambycidae. The record is from the annotation of a GenBank genome assembly.